Hyalella azteca is the source of this 1984-nucleotide long non-coding RNA. RefSeq lists it as uncharacterized. The record is from RefSeq and is a predicted model, not a curated record. Lineage: Eukaryota; Metazoa; Arthropoda; Malacostraca; Amphipoda; Hyalellidae. The transcript has 5 exons.
AAAAAGUAGGAGUUUUCCUGAAUGCACCCACUGUUGUGCACUCCAAGGAGCUCCAUACCAUACAUCAAGAAAAUACCAUACACCAAGAAUGCAGCUCCCAUACUGACCUUGUUGUAUCUGCUAUCAGUGUCAUUGAGUUGAAUUUAAAGAAUCUAUUGUGUCCUAAUAUCUAUAAAUAGGUUUUGCUGUCAAGAAGCUAACAAAACAAAGCUCAAGAUAGUUAACUUUAUUGAACAAUUCUGCAGUAUCAAACAAUUAACUGCUUGGAGCACUGCCUGCCAACCACCACCAGCUUGUUCAGGUUUCUGCUCCUGUUGGUGUAAAUGCUAUUCUCAGUGUAUUGGAAAUUUGGAUGAUGAGAAUUCACCGAGGCAGAGGAAGGUUCUCUUUUGCUGAUAUCAUAGCAAUUUCGAUGAUAGGAGUUGGUGGUGCACUUUACUUCUGGCAACCAAUAUUUUCCGAAAUUAAUAAAGCUGCAAAGUCACAAGCUGUUGAGGCUGACACUUCAACUUCAAAAGCCACUUCCGUGAACUCCACACCUAAGACUUCCAGCUCUUAAUAACACAGGAUUAGAGGACUUGGUGUCAGCUCAGUGCCAGCCAUGUCAACUGCUGCAAGCAAACUUAUCAACAGGAUUACUAUUGCUUUCUUGGGUGGAGCUAUCCUAAGCUUUUUCUGGGGGAAAUAUUACAUUGCACCUUACUUGACGAAGAGGAAACAAGAUCGAGGCUUCGACUUUGGGGAAGUCCUCUACGAUAUGGAGACUAAGAAACCAGAUUCAAAAUAGAGUGAACAAAUACGUGCGACUUCACUUGUGUAUUCGAAAGUGUUAUGCGUCACUAUCAUGGAACGUUCAAACAAAUUACUAAUGUAUGUUUGUAUAUGAAAACAUGAUGUUUAUGACAUUUAAAUAGAACAUUAACCGUAUUAAAUUCAUAAAUGGUCCCAAUCAAAUUUAUUUUUCAGUAUUUUAAUCGAUGGUGAAAACGUGAUUAGAAAUGGUUAGUCCACGGCAGUCCCAGCCCACGAGCCUGAUCAGGCCGGUUAAGAUGCCUAUGACGGUUAAACUUGUUACUGGACAUCGCGAACUGUAAUCUAGGUGCUCUGGCAGAAUCAUAAAAUCCCUGCCGCACGUACGAUGUUUUCACAGUUUGUUGUUUGCAAGCAUGAGCGAUUUCGCUGUAAUGGGACCUAAUAAACGUUUCUAUUGGGCCUACUACCGCUUUAACUUCUUGCAGAGGUUGCCCUUGGUUGAACUCAAGAUCGGUGGUUGGGUUGAUAUUGAGUUCCUUGACAUUGGUUGACUUCAAUGGACAGCCUUAUUAUCGUACAUAGUACCAAAGGUAGACGAAGCUUCUGGACCAGCCCCACGUGCCUCGGUUAGCAUAUUGGUCGUGAUUGAGAAGGAGUAAGACGGCAUUAUAAAAAACAGUCGCAGGAUCGAUUAGUGGUUGUGGCAGAUGAGGUCCCUGUUUGGACGCCAAAUGUUACGGGGAGCUGUCUCGAUAAUGUGGUUGGUAACUUAGUGCAACAGAAGGUUUUUUUCUUAAGCAGGGUUAAAGCAAUGGUUUGAUUGAAGGUCUCCGCUUGCAUUACAACUUCCUUGCAGAAAUGAAAAUGUGUCUCUCCCACAACAACGCGAGUGAGGCCUUGAAUGUUGAGCCAUAAUUGUAAAAGUUUUCUUGACAACAGUUCGGGGAAAUUUUGUUGCAUGAGAAACGAACUGUAAGCGCAUUUGAAUUCCAAUGUUUAUUGUAAAAAUCAAGAAGUAGUGGCUGGAUUUCAUAUGCAGUAUCUGAAAAUGCAUCAUCACAAGCCCUAUAGCUCUGGUUAUGGUAAGACCUCGCCAACGAAAUAGUUUGUUAUUUCCGAAUACGAUCCUCGAGACCAGAAAAGGUUUGGGGAUCGUCAGUUCUAUAUAUCAUUAGGCCGCCUACGCUAAAUAUUCUAUCUUGAUGCCAGGUUAAAUUUGUGUUUUUUUUUU